AUGGCUUUAAAUCACAAGAUGCCUCACAACUGAGUAAACAUCAGCUGUAGCUGAUAAAUAAAUCCAAAGAUAAAUCCUAAAUCCACCAUCAAGAAGUAAAAAAAAAUCAAGUUUGCAAGAAAAUGGUUAUCCAAAGGAUGUCACAUAUCGGCAUAACAGAAGUAUAUGUGAAGAACAAUAAUUGAUUAGAUUGAAUGUGGAUAACAUAGACACAAAUCACAGAAAAGACAAAACCAAAUUCUCAUUUAAAA
This 251-nucleotide long non-coding RNA is filed under the name Amborella trichopoda. Its description in RNAcentral is "long non-coding RNA (ATRI_LNC004021)". Lineage: Eukaryota; Viridiplantae; Streptophyta; Magnoliopsida; Amborellales; Amborellaceae. The record is from RNAcentral.